UGCGCUUGCGGAUUUUUUUGUUUGCGUUUAAAAUACCCAACAAGCUUUCUGGCGCCGUUGCCAGGGAACGGUAGCUAUGCUAGUUUCAAACCAAGUCGUCCGUGUAUCCUUUUUCUUUUCCUUUUUUUACCACACUCACCUUAUCACUUUCACCAUACCACAUGGAUUUCACUCUAAGCAUUAAUGAGCAUGGAAUUUAUUUCAUAGCCACUCCGUUUACUCCAUGCUCAUAUGCAACAUCUUCACAAUCCAUUGGUCUCUCCAACAUCACCACAUUCGAGAUCUCCAACCCCCUC
Molecule: long non-coding RNA, 296 nt
Filed under: Sorghum bicolor (sorghum)
Lineage: Eukaryota; Viridiplantae; Streptophyta; Magnoliopsida; Poales; Poaceae
Description: long non-coding RNA (SBIC_LNC009013)
Source: RNAcentral